Molecule: long non-coding RNA, 981 nt
Organism: Rhincodon typus (whale shark)
Lineage: Eukaryota; Metazoa; Chordata; Chondrichthyes; Orectolobiformes; Rhincodontidae
Exons: 2
Source: RefSeq, a predicted model, not a curated record
AGCUCCGCGCUCCCGCUUUCCUGAUAGCGUAACCGCCGCGCGCUCCCUCUGUCCUGCCAGAGCGCGCACGCACGGCGCAGUGACGACACAGAAGGACCGUCGGCAGCGGCGCACAGGCACGUGGGACAAAAUAAAGGGUGUAGAGCUGGUUGAACACAUCAGGCCCAGCCGCAUCAGAGGAGCGGGAAGGCUGACGUUUCGGGCCCUUCUUCAGAAAUGAUUUCGUCAGCCUUCCCGCUCCUCUGAUGCUGCUGGGCCUGCUGUGUUCAUCCAGCUCUACACCGUGUUAUCUCAGAUUCUCCAGCAUCUGCAGUUCCUACUAUCUCUGGGAUAAAAUAAAACUGAUUUCUCAUCAGGCCGUUCAGAAAGGUCCUCUGGAAUGGGUGGGACAUUAACCCGGAUCUCCUGGCUCAAAGCUAAAGAACCCCUCAGUCAAACCAAAAAAAUUUGGAACAUAUCUAGAAUGUUAAAACAAACUACACUCUGCAAAGGAAAAGGCAUUUAGAUGCAACAUUGACAAUGUUGUACCUGUAAAGAGCAGGUAGCUUGGAUGGAGUCAUACAAUCUAGAGAACUUUCACGGCAAGAUCUCAUGACCCAGUUUGCGACAAGAAAAUUUGACCUGGAUGAAGGCAACAUCCCCCAUUGCUCUCAUUCUUUCUUUGCAAUUCUCCUCUACAAAUUGUAUGAACUUAAAACCCACCGAAAGUCAUUUUUAUCACUUGGGAAGAGGUCUUGAGAGAAUUUCCUUGAAACUUAUUCCACGUGAAACAAAGAAAAUUCAGCCAAUUACAACCAUUCUAGAAACGCAACUACUUGGGUGGAGGGCGGGGUAGUGUGUGUGAGAGAGAGACAAUAAGUAAUGGAUAUAUUAUUUAAGAGUUAGUUGGGUCUGAAUUGGCUGUUUAGAGGUAGUAAUUAGUGGGGUGAAAGUUUAUAAAGUAUGGCUAACUGAAAUAAAGCUCUCACAUGAAAAUGUGAA